Molecule: ribosomal RNA, 400 nt
Filed under: uncultured bacterium
Lineage: Bacteria
Description: bacterial SSU rRNA
Rfam family: Bacterial small subunit ribosomal RNA
Source: RNAcentral
AUUGAACGCUGGCGGCGUGCCUAACACAUGCAAGUCGAGCGGUAACAGGUGUAGCAAUACAUGCUGACGAGCGGCGGACGGGUGAGUAACGCUUGGGAAUCUGCCUGUUAGUGGGGACAACCCGGGGAAACUCGGGCUAAUACCGCAUACGCACUACGGUGGAAAGCCGGGACCGCAAGGCCUGGCGCUAACAGAUGAGCCCAAGUCGGAUUAGCUAGUUGGUAGGGAACGGCCUACCAAGGCGACGAUCCGUAACUGGUCCUGAGAGGACGACCAGUCACACCGGAACUGAGACACGGUCCGGACUCCUACGGGAGGCAGCAGUGGGGAAUAUUGGACAAUGGGCGAAAGCCUGAUCCAGCGACGCCGCGUGGGUGAAGAAGGCCUGCGGGUCGUAAAC